CUUGUCCCUAUUACCCCCUCCUCGUUCGCUCUGCCCUAAUUAGUCAGAAUUAAGACGAAUGCCUGGGCCUCCCACGAUCAAUUGGUAUCGAGCGGACCUUCGCUCGCCCCUGCCUGGGGGCCUCUCUUGGCCGGCAGAUCAUUUAUAUCAAUCGCUUUUGUUUUUCUUUCCUUCCCCCUUCCCAUUCUUCCGUCCACCAAGUGCAAGGUCUGGUCUAUUGGUUGGCGAGCAGAAUGGACGGCAGAUAGAAUGGCAAAUCCUGGCACGUUAACUGCUACAGUUGUAUUGAUGUCACAGGGACACAUUCUUUAGGAAUACUCAGGGACACAUACGCCGGUCACAAGAAAAUGUGUGUUAUAUGCAUUUCUGUGCAUUUGUGGGGGAGAGUUUGAGCUUGUGUUCAGUGCUUUUUAUGCCGUCUCCUUUCACUAACGAGCUCACCCUUUAGAAGCAGGAGUCCCUCUUCCCUGCCCUUUGCUCUUCUUGUUGUCCUUCUCUCAAAUACCUCUCUCUUCUCUCUCUUGCUCUGCCUUAAUUACUUGUUAUUCUGGGUGAGGAGAGGCAAUAUGUGUUUCAUGUUUUUAUUGAUUUACCCCCAUUUGGUUCAAGAUAAUCAUGCAAAAGGAUGUAUAUCAAUCUCUCACUUCUGCUUAUGUUCCAUCCUUUUUCUUCACAUUCUCUCUUUGUCGUAGCUCUUGUGCCGUCUUGAUUCCCAGCACUGUGUAAGGACGGAAGCAAGACAUGUAAAACUUACUAGUGGAGAAGACCAAAGGAAGGCAGUGUCACUUGAGAUAUUAGAUAGAUAAAAACACACUGCAAACUGCAAGUUAAAACAUGAACCCUCACUGAUUCUCUUUUUGAAUAGAAAGAACCUGCUCUACUUGUAGCUGUGUCUUGCAAUAUCCAGCUGCUUUGACCUGCUUGUGGCUGGAUAACAGAGCCAUGUCCUAUUUUUCGUCUCCUGUGUUACGUUGCAGUGAUGUGGCUGGACAAUCAUGGACUGCACUGACAACAAAAAAUGAAAUUCGGUGACAAGACGAGUUUUUGGGCACAAAUAUCUGUAUGCAGGGUUAGGUCGAUGGAAGAUGGCAUUUUUAUUUUUAGAUGGAUUUCCAAACCAUUGUUUACUGGCAGGCAUUAUUUAUUUGUUUAUGUUAGAACCUGCUUUCCUUUUAUUGUUUUUUUUUCUUUCUUUCUACUUAACGGCGAGAAUCUACUCCUGCAAUUGUUCCACACAAUACCUUUGGAAUUCUUGUGUUAUUCCUGCAUUAUUCUUAGGUCGGCUCAGGCACCGUACCUUAGGGGAAUUUCAUUUAAAGGACAAAUUAAAUAGAAACAGGGUACAAAAAGCACACCUUUAUUACUUCCUUUCCUUCAAGGUUAAUGGUACAGUAGUGAACUGCCACUUACAACAGGCAUAGAUCCAGUUUGUCCUCUGUGUGUGUCUUUACAGGUCACUGAGUGUGUACUUUGGUGUACUCUAUGCUAGUAGUACAUCAGAGUGUUAGAUACUAACUGCUUCUACCCUGGAGGCUAGCUCAAACCUCUCUGGUCAGCUGCCUCUUCAUUAUACAUGCUUUGUGUGCGUGCCUGUUGUGUUUGUUUGUUUUGAUGUUGCAGAAACCAGAGAUGGCAGUACUGCAAGUAUGCGGCGCCAAGCUUGGAUAGUACACCGCAGCACUUUAGCCAUUCAUGAGUUGGCAUCUGGCUCCUUGAUUCUGCUGGAGAGAGCCCUCAUCUGUACAAACACAACCCCUGAUCUGUAUUGCUGCUUUGGGUCAAUGGGGAUAUAAAAUACAGAAAUAAAAACACAGAGAGGGAGGAGGGGAGUAGCUCUAUAGCGUCUUCAUGGAUUAAUGGAAGGAAAAGUGAGACUAUUAAUCCUCCUUUCUCACUCGGUGGUGUGUAGUAUAGGAUAUGAUAGAGAAAAAGUACAAUGUAAAUAUUAACCAGUGUAUACUUUUACAAUUCUGCCCAUUCACCUACAGUUUCUGCUUAUUAGCAGGUUUAUAAUAAGUCACAGAGGAGAAGCACACUCUGCACACUGGGUGGGAUGGUUGGCAACCGCUUCUGUAUUUCUGCCUAAUUUGCCAUUGUGAAUACUAUUUAGUUAAAUGGCCGAAGUUUGUUUUGCUCCCCAGCUCCCUGCUGCGCUAGCAUUACUACACCACUCGGGCUAUAAGCAAUCAGAGAGAGAAAGGGAGAGGGAGAAAAAGAGUUACUGGGAUUUAAAGGAACAUGGACUGCAGUAUCAUGGUUUAAGUGAGGAGCACACCAAGUGAUGCUGAUGAGGAAGGAUGUGGUGAAGGGAGACGAAUGCCCGGGCCCUGAAGUGUACCAGUCUGAGAGAUAGCUCCCCGCGGUGAAGAAUCAACUGUGGCUAGCCUGAACUCCUGCCAAGCUCACUGGCUGUUUGAGUUGUUGCAGAUGGCACAAACAGGCAGUAGCACUGAUGUGGCAGGGUAUACAUUAUUAAAGAACAACUGUUAAGAGGAGACUGCGCGAAUCAGGCCUUCAUGGUCAAGUAGCUGCUC
Molecule: long non-coding RNA, 2534 nt
Organism: Perca fluviatilis (European perch)
Lineage: Eukaryota; Metazoa; Chordata; Actinopteri; Perciformes; Percidae
Exons: 3
Source: RefSeq, a predicted model, not a curated record